This 2399-nucleotide long non-coding RNA is filed under the name Capsicum annuum. RNAcentral describes it as "long non-coding RNA (CANN_LNC016214)". Lineage: Eukaryota; Viridiplantae; Streptophyta; Magnoliopsida; Solanales; Solanaceae. The record is from RNAcentral.
UUCCUUAAUAUUUUGUGUUGUCUGUGGUGUUAGUUGUUAUUUGUUGACUAGUCAUUAAGCCUUUUUAUCUGUUAUUUGGCUCUUUCAUUGUUUAUUAUGCUUAGACUCAUCGUUGGUAUAUGAUGACUGAAGGUUGAAAUCUGUGUCUGUAUUUGAAUGAAAUAUAUAUAUAUAUAUUAAUUAAUAAUUAACAGCUUUUCCAUUUGAGAUUACAUUCAAGGUUUGCUACCUCCUUUUGUUAUUUACUGUUUUGUGAUACACGGGUCUAUCUGAAACAGUCUCUCUGCCUCCUGAGGUAGGUGAGGUAAAGGUCAGGUCUGCGUACACUCUAUCCUCCUCAGAACCCACUUGUGCGAUUACAUUGGUUAUGUUGUUGUUGUGAUAGCUGGGUGUAUCAGGUAGUCUUUAUGUGCACAAGAUGGGGGUAAGGCUGCAUACACACCAUCCUCCAAGACAAUUUCACUAAGUAUGUUGGAGAUGGAUACCUUAGGCUGAGGGGUGUCAGGUGGCAUUGUUUCGUCGGAAAUUUUAUUGAAUGUGUCUACAUAAUUAGAAAGAUACAAUCAAAGUAAAGGUUAUAUUGAAUAAAAUGACACUACUUAAAGCAAAAUGCCGCGCAGUUCUAUUGGUUAGGCGCCUCAAUUUUCGGUAGACACUGUGAGUUUGAAUCUCAGCACCUGCGCUAUUCAAUUUUUUAGUAAAAAUUUUCAUUACUCCCUCAGUUCCUAAAUAAGUAGUGUUUUAGCCUUUUUAUUUUGUUCCUAAAUAGGCAAGAAGCCAUAUGAUAUUCUUCCAAUUUUAUCCCCUUUUUAAAUAAUGAGAAUCUUACAUAACCAAGAAAUUAUAAUAAAGAUUUGCAUCUUUUUCAAGAUAUUUAUUAAGAGAAAGUUAGUAAAAACGCUCUUUGUUUUCUAGGAAUGACUAGUUUCUUAAGAGGUGUGCCCAAGCUUAAAAUGCCACUUAUUUUGGAUCGGAGGGAGUAUUGUUAUUUGGCUCAGGUUCGAACAAGGGAAGUCUUAGAAAUUAAUAAAGCUGUAAACCAAUUAGCCCAAAACACCAUAUUUUAAAUAUCGGGAUAAGAUUAUAUUAGAGUGCUUAAAGAAAGAUGUUGCUCCUUUCCUAUAUGUUUUUUCUUUUUAGCGAAUUUAUAUCGUUAGGUACUAGAUAGUGUGUCUUAGCGGCCUUCUAUUAAUAAUAAAAAUUUCUCAUCAGGGUUAGUCAUAAGUAAGGGGACUAAGUCUUACCUUAUCAAUCUUAAUGAGGUAGCAAACAUCUAUUGAUUAACCCUAUUGUUUCUGUAGUUAAUUGGGUGUUAAAAAACUUUCUUUCUUGAUAAUAAACCUUAUUAAAGAUUGAUUUGCAAAAUCAAAUGAAUGAUGACUUUUUGAUUGAUCGGUUGGUGCCUUAUAUAGAAAUUUUUUUUAGCAUAAUAAAAAUGAGGUUAUGUUGAAUACAUUUAAAAAAUGAAAUCUCAUCAAGGAGAUUUAUAGUAAUAUACGUGAGUUGUGCUUUAUUUAUAUUAUGUUCUUUUUUGAUAAGCCGUUUUAAUAUUUUAUUUAUUUAUUUAUUUUCAUUUAAUAUGUGAAAUUGCAUAUGAAAAAUUCUGCGUAUGCCACUGGUUUGUUGUGGUUGUAGUACUGUUUUGUGAUAGCUUCUGGUACUAUGCAUUUUUCUUCUGGUUCAUUAUUUUUCAUCACUGGCAUGGCAGAGAGUGAGAAUCGAAUAGCUAGAAAAUGUUUGUGUUGUAGUGCAAUGCCUCCUAUAUAUGAUAUGUUACAUUCUGCUUUGGCUAUGGUCUUUUGUGUUAACAAUAAAAAUAGAUGGUUCUUUAGUGUUUCUAGUUAGCCAUAGAUUCUGUCAUCAUUCUGUCCUUUGAGCUCAUUUUCCAUGUGUUUGUGUGAUAUCUCGUGACUUGAGCCGGGGGUCUUUCGGAAACAGCCUUUCUACUUCAUCAGAGGUAGAGGUAUGGACUGCGUACAUCUUACCCCCCCAGACCCCACUAAGUGGGAAUACACUGGGUUUGUUGUUGUUGUUGUUAUAUAGGAGGGUAGAGUAGGGUAUUUGAUUUAGCUCUUUCAAAAUCAGGGAUUUACUUGGAACCCCUGAAAUGAUUUCUCAUGUGCUUGAUGCAAAAAAUUCUCAUUUUGUAGUUGUCUUCGUAUGCUUUGCUUUGAUGACCAUGUGUCUUCUUGGUAUUAUUAUAUCUCAAGAAACAUUUCAGAAGUUCUGUUGGGUCUCAUAUACAAUUUAAGUGUACUUUUGUGUAAUAAUUAUAUUGUAAAAAAAUAUCGUUCCUUUUAUGUGUGCUCUGCUGUUGAUACUUCAUCCAUAAUGUGUUUGCUUCCAUCUUUAUAUUGGAAUUAUAUGGGGCAGCUGUUUUAAUUUUACUUACAUUUAGG